Molecule: ribosomal RNA, 772 nt
Filed under: uncultured bacterium
Lineage: Bacteria
Description: bacterial SSU rRNA
Rfam family: Bacterial small subunit ribosomal RNA
Source: RNAcentral
AGAGUUUGAUCAUGGCUCAGAGUGAACGCUGGCGGCGUGCCUAAUACAUGCAAGUCGAACGAUGAAGUCCUAGCUUGCUAGGAUGGAUUAGUGGCGCACGGGUGAGUAAUAUAUAGUUAAUCUGCCCUACACAGAGGAACAACAGUUGGAAACGACUGCUAAUACCUCAUACUCCUAUUUGACAUAAGUUAAAUAGGGAAAGUCUUUUCGGUGUAGGAUGAGACUAUAUCGUAUCAGCUAGUUGGUAAGGUAAUGGCUUACCAAGGCUAUGACGCGUAACUGGUCUGAGAGGAUGAUCAGUCACAUUGGAACUGAGACACGGUCCAAACUCCUACGGGAGGCAGCAGUAAGGAAUAUUGCGCAAUGGGGGAAACCCUGACGCAGCAACGCCGCGUGGAGGAUGACACUUUUCGGAGCGUAAACUCCUUUUAUCAGGAAAGAAUAAUGACGGUACCUGAUGAAUAAGCACCGGCUAACUCCGUGCCAGCAGCCGCGGUAAUACGGGGGGUGCAAGCGUUACUCGGAAUCACUGGGCGUAAAGGACGCGUAGGCGGAUUAUCAAGUCUUUUGUGAAAUCUAGUGGCUUAACCACUAAACUGCUUAGGAAACUGAUAGUCUAGAGUAGGGGAGAGGUAGAUGGAAUUCUUGGUGUAGGGGUAAAAUCCGUAGAGAUCAAGAAGAAUACCCAUUGCGAAAGCGAUCUGCUGGAACCUAACUGACGCUGAGGCGUGAAAGCGUGGGUAGCAAACAGGAUUAGAUACCCCGGUAGUCC